This 541-nucleotide ribosomal RNA is filed under the name uncultured bacterium. Its description in RNAcentral is "bacterial SSU rRNA". It matches the Rfam family "Bacterial small subunit ribosomal RNA", at positions 42 to 561 of the family's 1533-position model. The record is from RNAcentral.
GCAGGCUUAACUCAUGCAAGUCGAGCGAGAAAGGGGCUUCGGUCCUGAGUAAAGCGGCGGACGGGUGCGUAACACGUGGAUAAUCUACCCUGAUGUGGGGGACAACAACUCGAAAGGGUUGCUAAUACCGCAUACGUCGGCGUUGUCGAUGACAGUGCCGGGAGAGAGGGCGCCUGAAAGGGGCUCUCGCAGCAGGAUGAGUCCGCGGCCCAUCAGCUAGUUGGCGGGGUAAAAGCCCACCAAGGCCAAGACGGGUAGCUGGUCUGAGAGGAUGAUCAGCCACACUGGGACUGAGACACGGCCCAGACUCCUACGGGAGGCAGCAGUGGGGAAUAUUGGGCAAUGGGCGCAAGCCUGACCCAGCCAUGCCGCGUGAGUGAUGAAGGCCUUCGGGUCGUAAAGCUCUGUGGGGAGGGACGAACAGUUCCGGUGUUAAUACCACUGGGACCUGACGGUACUUCCUUAGCAAGCACCGGCUAACUCCGUGCCAGCAGCCGCGGUAAUACGGAGGGUGCAAACGUUGCUCGGAAUCAUUGGGCGU